Molecule: ribosomal RNA, 523 nt
Filed under: uncultured Glomus
Lineage: Eukaryota; Fungi; Glomeromycota; Glomeromycetes; Glomerales; Glomeraceae
Description: SSU rRNA
Rfam family: Eukaryotic small subunit ribosomal RNA
Source: RNAcentral
AGCAGCCGCGGUAAUUCCAGCUCCAAUAGCGUAUAUUAAAGUUGUUGCAGUUAAAAAGCUCGUAGUUGAAUUUCGGGAUCAAUACGUCGGUCGUGCUUUCGGGUACGUACUGGCGUCAUUGGUUUCUCCUUUCUGACGAACCAUGAUGUCAUUAAUUUGGUGUUAUGGGGAGUUAGGACUGUUACUUUGAAAAAAUUAGAGUGUUUAAAGCAGGCAUUAGCUUGAAUACAUUAGCAUGGAAUAAUGAAAUAGGACGUUCGAUCCUAUUUUGUUGGUUUCUAGGAUCAACGUAAUGAUUAAUAGGGAUAGUUGGGGGCAUUAGUACUCAAUUGUCAGAGGUGAAAUUCUUGGAUUUAUUGAAGACUAACUACUGCGAAAGCAUUUGCCAAGGAUGUUUUCAUUAAUCAAGAACGAAAGUUAGGGGAUCGAAGACGAUCAGAUACCGUCGUAGUCUUAACCAUAAACUAUGCCGACUAGGGAUCGGAUGAUGUUAAUUUUUUAAUGACUCAUUCGGCGCCUUACG